RNAcentral lists this small nuclear RNA (117 nucleotides) under Chelydra serpentina (North American snapping turtle). Its description in RNAcentral is "U1 spliceosomal RNA (ENSCSRG00000012369.1)". It matches the Rfam family "U1 spliceosomal RNA", at positions 30 to 166 of the family's 166-position model. Rfam says of the family: U1 is a small nuclear RNA (snRNA) component of the spliceosome (involved in pre-mRNA splicing). Its 5' end forms complementary base pairs with the 5' splice junction, thus defining the 5' donor site of an intron. Lineage: Eukaryota; Metazoa; Chordata; Testudines; Chelydridae. The record is from RNAcentral.
UUAUUUCCCGUGCCUUCUACCUCCUUCCCAGGGUGAGGCUCAUCCAUUGCACUGCGGGUGUGCUGACCCCUGCGAUUUCCCCAAAUGCGGGAAACUCGACUGCAUAAUUUGUUCUGC